AAGGAAACGAAAUUGCAUUGUUUUGGAAAGCCGUAAAUUUGAUAAUGCAUCAAAGCAAUUGCUUCUCGCUGGAGAAUUGAAAAUGUUAUCAAUCUCCUUGUGGGUUUUCCAUUGCUACAAGUUUUUGAACAGAGUCAUUUAGUCAUUGGCAAACUUACCUAGACUUAAUCCAUUAUAAAUUAAGACACAAAUAUGUAAAUCCUACCUCUUUUAUAUGUGAAUCCCAUCACAUAUGCUGUGUCUUAGAGUCCACGAUCUCACCUAUUUUACAUAUAUGGAUCCAAUCGGAUCUAGUUGAGAAUAUCCUGUCAAUAGCACUUGCCGACAUGCUUGUACGGUUCCCGUCCUCGAAACUGUACCCAACAGCACUACCACCAUCAGUGCUAACAAUGGCAAUGGUUUGUGCCGUCCACAUUGCUACGUGAACAGGGAAGCUGUGUAUUUAGGGAGAUGGUCAUCCGGUCUCAACUGCUAGAUUACUAGCAUUUCACUAUCAUUUUGAUAACAAAAGCAUUCAAGCACCUUUAUUCAAUAUCACUAAAACAGAAAACUUUAAACAGUACGCCUACACAUAAAAGCUUGCCUAGCUAGUUUAUUGAAUAACAUGGUACUUCUAUGACUGUUAACUGUAAUUAUGUCAAAUUGUCAAACAACAUCCAUAUCUCAUUGACCCUGUGAUCAAAUUCAAAUGGAGAAUUGUACUGUGCAACUGUAUACACAGAAGUAGCAUCAGCAUCAUGGCUUUUCUGAAUUGCAGUAGCCCAUGUAGUACCUGCAAGGCUGGCUUCCAAGGCAGCGGCUUCCUCUCCAACAUUUGAAUCUGUGACAAACCCACUGAAUUGCCUUACUGCUGCAUAUGUUUGUUUCCAUCUUUGAACAUGUAGGCCUUCUGCAGGAGGUGGAUUUGCUUGAUUCUCUUUUGGAACAUAAAAACUGACAGUGAAUGAGGAUUCACAGAAAGGUCCAUCACUUGGACAAACUUCAGUAAUAACUGGACCUGUCAUCUCUAUCUUCUCUCCAUAUUUAUUCUUCCCUUGAAUGUAGUUAAACAGCCUGUGACCAGAAACAGAACAAUGGUUCAAGCUAUAAAAUUCUCUUAAACAAAACAACAAAUGAAAGAAGAAAUCUUACUGUAGGAAACCAGUUCUGGUAGCUUCAACAAUGGAAAUGUCUUGGAUGGGAGAGGUUGACAUCCAAGCAGAAGAGUUAUAGCUCCGAAUUUCAUAUCCAUCACCAACUUCUAUAACAUCAUAAGAUGGACACUCUAUUCGCUUGCAUGUUGGUGGGUAUAUCCCUAAUCUGCUGCUGCUGCUGCUAGGUUCAUGCCAGAGACCAAAGUUUGCACUCCAUAGAAGACUCAAAACCAGUGAUAGCUUUGUGAAGAGCAUGUGUAAGCUAGAGCCAGCCAUGGCAGUAAGUGCUCAAUUGCUUUGAAAAAGGUUAGGUUGAAG
Molecule: unclassified non-coding RNA, 1451 nt
Filed under: Hevea brasiliensis (rubber tree)
Lineage: Eukaryota; Viridiplantae; Streptophyta; Magnoliopsida; Malpighiales; Euphorbiaceae
Source: RNAcentral